This 429-nucleotide ribosomal RNA is filed under the name Actinomycetes bacterium. RNAcentral describes it as "Actinobacteria bacterium partial 16S ribosomal RNA". It matches the Rfam family "Bacterial small subunit ribosomal RNA", at positions 355 to 776 of the family's 1533-position model. The record is from RNAcentral. Lineage: Bacteria; Bacillati; Actinomycetota; Actinomycetes.
UAGGGAAUCUUCCGCAAUGGGCGAAAGCCUGACGGAGCAACGCCGCGUGAGUGAUGAAGGUCUUCGGAUCGUAAAACUCUGUUAUUAGGGAAGAACAAAUGUGUAAGUAACUAUGCACGUCUUGACGGUACCUAAUCAGAAAGCCACGGCUAACUACGUGCCAGCAGCCGCGGUAAUACGUAGGUGGCAAGCGUUAUCCGGAAUUAUUGGGCGUAAAGCGCGCGUAGGCGGUUUUUUAAGUCUGAUGUGAAAGCCCACGGCUCAACCGUGGAGGGUCAUUGGAAACUGGAAAACUUGAGUGCAGAAGAGGAAAGUGGAAUUCCAUGUGUAGCGGUGAAAUGCGCAGAGAUGUGGAGGAACACCAGUGGCGAAGGCGACUUUCUGGUCUGUAACUGACGCUGAUGUGCGAAAGCGUGGGGAUCAAACAGG